UUCCUCAGAUAAAUGUCAACUUCCUCAGCAUGGGCUCCAAAUGGCCCUGUGUGUUAUAACCCCAGAACACAUCUCAUAUACCAUUCCCCUCAUCGCUCCUUGUUGCUGCACCACACUGGCCUCAUUUCAGGUCUCUAACCAGGUGUGUCCCCCUCUGCCACAGGUCUUUUGUGUAGCUGUUCUCUUUGCCUCUCAGGCCCUGUGAUCCCCCUCUUCCCUCAGUUAACAUUUAUUCAUCCUUUAGCUCUUUGCCCAGAUUUUCUUCCUUAGCAAAAUCUUCUCUGAGACCAUGUCUGGAACCACUGUUAUACACGCUUAUGGCACUGCCUAUCUUUCUUCAAAGCAUUUAUCACAGUUUAUGAUAUUUAUUUGUGUGAUAUUUGAUUAAAAAUAGUACUUCUCCCCUCCCCCACUAAAUGAUACGCUCCAGGAGGGCAAGAACAUUGCCUAUUUUUUCUUACCAUUGUAUCCCAAACAGAGAUUGAAUACAUUUAAUAGGCUUUAAGGGGGUUAGAUAUGCAUUUUCCAAAAUCUUAGAUAUUGUUCUUUUCAGACAGAGCAAGGAAAGAAGGAUGUAUCUUCUAUUAAUUGUAGCAAACUAUUAACCAGGAAGAAGAGGAGAGAGUCAGUGUCUGAUACUCAUUUUGUUGCAAACUCAGGAUAUUUUCCCUGCCUCCUCGGGGAAACCAUCCCUGAGGUCAACAUGGCACUUGUUUCCAAGACGUGUCAUCCUUCCUGAGAUGGCCCAUUACCCUCUUCAGAGCCCUGUACUUCAGACUUGCCUCCUCUUCCAACCCUCUUUCCAAGGCAGAAACCACACCAUCUGAUUGCACAGGAAACGGGGAGUGAGAAUUCAAUGGGCUGCCACUCAUUCACUGAGUGUCACACAAUAAACAUUACUCCACAAAGCCCUUUCACAAACAGCACUUCGUCUGAUCCUCAAAACAACCCUGUGAAGCAUGCAAAGCAGACAUAACUAUUCCCAUUUUAAUAGCUGGGGAAACUGAGGUUCAAAGAGGCAAGUGACUUACUCAAGGUCACAAAGUUUGUGUGAGGCAGAGGUAGGAUUUCAAACUACAGACUCUAACACUUAGUCCAAUGCUUUUCCUUACAUUAGCCGCCCCAACAGUUCCAAUACCAGUUACUUAACCUUGGUUUUUUAAUUCCCUUAAAUAAGCACCUGUUCCUGACCCCUCCACACAUCCUCAGCCCAGUUUGCAGUCCCUACCCAGAAGUUUUCAGGUGUCUGUUCAAUGGGGCAGAGGGAGUCACAAACCGGGUCACCCUAUCAGGGAUUGGUCCCAGCCUCCAGAGUCUUUUCUGGCUUUUCCUCUGAACCACUGAGGAACCAGAAACCCCCAGAAAUAAAAACACAAAGAGAAGACGUGCCCCACCAGAGCAAGGUCCCUGCUACCCUUUCUGCCCACGUUCUGGCAGGACAACGCGAGGCCAGACGCCGGCCCCUUCCAACAGAAAGACGCGAGGAGAACAAGAGGUCGCCGCCCGCCGGCUGUCAGGGCUCCUGGGCGGGCGGCGCAAGGGAUGCGGCAGAGAUGGGCCAGAUCCCAGCUGCACCUGACCCUUGAAAACUGGGAAAGUGUCGGUUUUGCCUAUUCUGAUUUCAUUCCUUGGGAGAUGAUGUUUAAAUUCCGGGCAAACAUCCUUCGCGAUUGCAGGAGGAGGUAAAAAACUGAGGCUCAGUGAAGUUAAGCAACUUACUCAAGGUCAGGCAGUCAUGAAGCUGGGAUUCCAUCAUUCAUCUAUUAAUUCAAAACACUUUUGCUGAGAACCUAUGUAUCGUGCCCUAUGUUAGGUGUUGGGAAAACAGCAAUUAAGACAGUGUCCUUGGCCUCAUAAGCCUUACAAUCAAGUGGGAGAAAGUAAACAAGUCAUCAAACAAGAUAACCGCUAGUUAUAAUCACUACUGUUAAGUAAAUAAAGAGUUAUGUGAUCAAGAGUAA
Molecule: long non-coding RNA, 1961 nt
Filed under: Homo sapiens (human)
Lineage: Eukaryota; Metazoa; Chordata; Mammalia; Primates; Hominidae
Description: HSALNT0368203
Source: RNAcentral